GUGGGAGGGAAGGGAGUUCCUCAGCCAAGACUGCGAGAGGGCGCAGGCCAGGCCGAGGGACCCCACCAGUGCCCG
Molecule: non-coding RNA, 75 nt
Organism: Myotis lucifugus (little brown bat)
Lineage: Eukaryota; Metazoa; Chordata; Mammalia; Chiroptera; Vespertilionidae
Source: Rfam